RNAcentral lists this ribosomal RNA (160 nucleotides) under Panax variabilis (nom. ined.). Its description in RNAcentral is "Panax variabilis 5.8S ribosomal RNA". It matches the Rfam family "5.8S ribosomal RNA". Rfam says of the family: 5.8S ribosomal RNA (5.8S rRNA) is a component of the large subunit of the eukaryotic ribosome. It is transcribed by RNA polymerase I as part of the 45S precursor that also contains 18S and 28S rRNA. The record is from RNAcentral. Lineage: Eukaryota; Viridiplantae; Streptophyta; Magnoliopsida; Apiales; Araliaceae.
ACCGACUCUCGGCAACGAAUUUCUCGGCUCUCCAUUCGAUAAAAAACGUACCAAAAUGCAAUACUUGGUGUGAAUUGCAAAAUCCCGGGAACCAUCAUUUCUUUGAACGCAAGUUGCGCCCGAACCCAUUAGGCCGAGGGAACGUCUGCCUGGGCGUCCC